UAUAUAAUCCCUCCGUCCGGAAAUACUUGUUGGAGAAAUGGAUGUAUUUAGACGUAUUUUAGUUCUAUACAUCUAUUUUAUGUAUUUUUCCAACAAGUACUUUCAGACGGAGGGAGUAUUUU
This is a non-coding RNA of Triticum aestivum (bread wheat), 122 nucleotides long. NCBI's taxonomy places the organism in Eukaryota, Viridiplantae, Streptophyta, Magnoliopsida, Poales, Poaceae. The record is from Rfam.